RNAcentral lists this ribosomal RNA (320 nucleotides) under uncultured eukaryote. RNAcentral's name for it is "partial 18S ribosomal RNA". It matches the Rfam family "Eukaryotic small subunit ribosomal RNA", at positions 1470 to 1796 of the family's 1831-position model. The record is from RNAcentral.
CCCUUAGAUGUUCUGGGCCGCACGCGUGCUACACUGAGUGGAUCAGCGGGUCAGGUUGCGCGAAAGCGUUUCCUAAUCUUUAAAUCCGCUCGUGAUGGGGAUUGACGGUUGCAAUUUUCUGUCAUGAACGAGGAAUACCUUGUAAGCGCGGGUCAUCAUCCCGCGCUGAAUACGUCCCUGCCCUUUGUACACACCGCCCGUCGCUCCUACCGAUUGAGUAAUCCGGUGAAUAAUUCGGACCGAUUGCGAUGUCAGUUCCUGGCGCCGCAGACGGAAAGUCUAGUGAACCUUAUUACUUAGAGGAAGGAGAAGUCGUAACA